AGAGCCGUCUAUAAAAAGCUUCUAACUUUUAAAAAAGCAUUAACAUGUUUGUGGUUCUU
This 59-nucleotide transfer RNA is filed under the name Cautires sp. UPOL VK0408. RNAcentral's name for it is "tRNA-Ser". Lineage: Eukaryota; Metazoa; Arthropoda; Insecta; Coleoptera; Lycidae. The record is from RNAcentral.